CCUACGGGGGGCUGCAGUGGGGAAUAUUGGACAAUGGGGGGAACCCUGAUCCAGCCAUGCCGCGUGUGUGAAGAAGGCCCUCGGGUUGUAAAGCACUUUCAGUGAGGAAGAACGCCUGGUGGUUAAUACCCAUCAGGAAAGACAUCACUCACAGAAGAAGCACCGGCUAACUCCGUGCCAGCAGCCGCGGUAAUACGGAGGGUGCGAGCGUUAAUCGGAAUUACUGGGCGUAAAGCGCGCGUAGGUGGCUUGAUAAGCCGGUUGUGAAAGCCCCGGGCUCAACCUGGGAACGGCAUCCGGAACUGUCAAGCUAGAGUGCAGGAGAGGAAGGUAGAAUUCCCGGUGUAGCGGUGAAAUGCGUAGAGAUAGGGAGGAAUACCAGUGGCGAAGGCGGCCUUCUGGACUGACACUGACACUGAGGUGCGAAAGCGUGGGUAGCAAACAGGAUUAGAUACCCGUGUAGUC
Molecule: ribosomal RNA, 465 nt
Filed under: Vreelandella stevensii
Lineage: Bacteria; Pseudomonadati; Pseudomonadota; Gammaproteobacteria; Oceanospirillales; Halomonadaceae
Description: partial 16S ribosomal RNA
Rfam family: Bacterial small subunit ribosomal RNA
Source: RNAcentral